AUACACAUAUAAAACUAACUAAUCUAAAAGAGUCAUUGCAAAUAAAAUGUCGGAACUGUUGUUAAAAUUUAAACAUAAAUGAAUUCAAAUAAAAUAAAAACCCAAAAUAUCCGCUUUAAGACCAGUUCUGAAGCAGAAGAAUCCUGACUAAUACGGAGCAGCUGAAACUGGUUUCUUCAAGUUUGACCAAAUACAUGCCGAGGAGAUGGUGCCCGAGGCUGGCUAGUCCUCUUGACGGGAUUAUAUAAAGACCGCAUCCAGUCAGGUCAACUCAGUCAACGUGAAGCAGUCACCCCCUCGAUUUUAUCUAUCAACAUGAAAUUCUUGUCGCUGAUGUUGGUGUUGGUGGUGGCCCUGGCCGCCCUGAUGGGGUCAGCCCGAGCUAUGCCUGACCCCUAUGCCCUGGCUGGCCCUGACCCCUACGCUGAGGCUGACCCACACUUCCGUCGCCGGUUCGGUUACGGCGGCUAUAGAGGCUACGGUCGUUUCUAUGGUUAAUCAAGGAACCUACUCUCACCGACUCCAAGCUCCUCCCAAGAGACGGGUCCUGCCAGAAGACUCACAAGAAAGCAACGUAGACCACAGCAAGCUUAACCACUUCAGCACCUCCACCAUCAAGCAUUUACAAUCCCCACCACCUCCACCAUGAUUGUUGGGGAGUGACUAAUUGAUAAUUCAAUAGUUAGCGACCAAUAACUGAAUUCUAUAAACAAAAUAAAUGCACUUUAAGAAACUAUGCUUCAGUUUACGUCCUUAAGAAAUAUUAAUAGUGUACUGUAUUAAGUGCAGUUAGUGCUGAAUAUGAUAACAUAUAAAAUAUA
Molecule: long non-coding RNA, 821 nt
Organism: Procambarus clarkii (red swamp crayfish)
Lineage: Eukaryota; Metazoa; Arthropoda; Malacostraca; Decapoda; Cambaridae
Source: RefSeq, a predicted model, not a curated record